Molecule: non-coding RNA, 31 nt
Filed under: Homo sapiens (human)
Lineage: Eukaryota; Metazoa; Chordata; Mammalia; Primates; Hominidae
Source: RNAcentral
UCCCAGGAGGUAGCAACCUAGGCUUUGGUUC